AUUUAUGAACAUAGUUAAAUUGAGAGACAAAAAAAAGAUUCAGAUGCUUAAUUUCAGUGCAAAAAAAUUCAGUGCUAGAAAUUCAAUGGCUUUUAUAAUUAAAAAUCUGAUGAGACAGAUGUACUUCCAUAGGGGAUGUUGCAUCGGAGAAUAAGCUGUUUGGUUGUGUGUGUGUGUGUGUGUGUGGUGUCUUUUAAAUCAUUAUUGCAACAAUCCCUGACUCUUGGUUUUGAUGCUGUAAACCAUUCAAUAUUUGACAAAAACAGCAGAAAUAUGUGAAAACAUUUUGGACUUGAAAAUUUUUUCUCCCAGAAAUUUUUGUAUCUGGUUUAUCCUACUGAAAAGACUGCCUUAUUUUAUACAAUAUUUAUACAGUACAUCCCACUGUGCAACUGCAACGGACACCUGGAGUUUUUAUUGUGACGUAGUGAGAAGGUUGUGUUCAAGUAAAUCUCAAUAUUUUUCUAGGCGAUGAAUUUUACACUGGAUUUGCAGUAAACGAUGGCAACCAUUCUAUUGAAUAUCUGAAUACCUGUGAAUGGGACGGCUGCACAGAGAAUGUAUGCAGAGAACGUAUGCAGAGAACUGUACGCAGAGAACGUAUGCAGAGAACACAGUUGUCUAUCACUGUCUUGAAGCGCUCUCAGAGGAAUCGAUCAAACACCCGUUGCUGUUUUUUUGGAAACUUGUCCAACAUGCGUCCGUUCAGACCCAGGGCUGAGUUUAGAUUCGGAUGCUAAUACAUGUUGAGGUUGUGUCUCAUUUUGAAUCUUUCCUCUUUCAACAGUAUAUAAAUAAAUGCCAUCACAGCUAAAGCAGGAGGGGGUUAAUAAGACCAAUACUGACCAGAGUUAUCUUUGUUUCUCUCUUAUGGCAAAAUUGUAAAUUCAAUCAGGGGAUGUAUUUUUUCCUUCUGAUUCACAUGUUGGUCUGAACGCACGGAAAAAGAUUAGAAACUAUUCAAUGAAAAAUAAAAUAAUGUCAAUUAUAAUGGUG
This is a long non-coding RNA of Sphaeramia orbicularis (orbiculate cardinalfish), 996 nucleotides long. RefSeq lists it as uncharacterized. Lineage: Eukaryota; Metazoa; Chordata; Actinopteri; Kurtiformes; Apogonidae. The transcript has 2 exons. The record is from RefSeq and is a predicted model, not a curated record.